GGGGAAAGAUCCUUUUUGGAACCUGCCUAGCCGAACGACCCGAGAACUAGUUUCAAAGCGGGGGCCGAGGGGUCCUGCGGCUCCUCGUCCCCUUUAUCUCGGGGGGGUUGCGUUGCGCUCGCGCGGCCGACCCUUCCGGGCGUACAAACGAACACCGGCGCGAAUUGCGCCAAGGAAAUUGAACGAGAGAGCGCGUCCCCGUCGCCCCGGAAACGGUGUGCGAGGGCGGCGUCGUCAUCUUCAAAUAUGUCAAAACGACUCUCGGCAACGGAUAUCUCGGCUCUCGCAUCGAUGAAGAACGUAGCGAAAUGCGAUACUUGGUGUGAAUUGCAGAAUCCCGUGAACCAUCGAGUCUUUGAACGCAAGUUGCGCCCGAAGCCAUUAGGCCGAGGGCACGCCUGCCUGGGCGUCACACGUCGUUGCCCCCCCAUCAACUCCUUCGGGAUUGCGGGGGGCGGAUGAUGGCCUCCCGUGCGCCUCGCCGCGCGGUUGGCAUAAAUACCAAGUCCUCGGCGACGCACGCCACGACAAUCGGUGGUUGCGAGACCUCGGUUGCCCGUCGUGUGCGUUCGUCGCGCAUCGA
Molecule: unclassified non-coding RNA, 583 nt
Filed under: Prunus dulcis (almond)
Lineage: Eukaryota; Viridiplantae; Streptophyta; Magnoliopsida; Rosales; Rosaceae
Description: sequence contains 18S rRNA gene, ITS1, 5.8S rRNA gene and ITS2
Rfam family: 5.8S ribosomal RNA (bases 257-412)
Source: RNAcentral